CGGCAGCAGCUCAAAUUUGAAAUCUGGCCUUCUGGUCCGAAUUGUAAUUUGAAGAGGAUGUUUCGAAUAUGGUCCAGUCUAAGUUCCUUGGAACAGGACGUCAUAGAGGGUGAGAAUCCCGUAUGUGACUGGGUGCCUAGUUCAUGUGAAACUCCUUCGAC
Molecule: ribosomal RNA, 161 nt
Filed under: Leotiaceae sp.
Lineage: Eukaryota; Fungi; Ascomycota; Leotiomycetes; Leotiales; Leotiaceae
Description: partial large subunit ribosomal RNA
Rfam family: Eukaryotic large subunit ribosomal RNA
Source: RNAcentral